Molecule: transfer RNA, 74 nt
Filed under: Omphalotus olearius VT 653.13
Lineage: Eukaryota; Fungi; Basidiomycota; Agaricomycetes; Agaricales; Omphalotaceae
Description: tRNA-Val (AAC) (tRNA-Val-AAC-2 1 to 3)
Rfam family: tRNA
About the family: Transfer RNA (tRNA) molecules are approximately 80 nucleotides in length. Their secondary structure includes four short double-helical elements and three loops (D, anti-codon, and T loops).
Source: RNAcentral
GGCUCAAUGGCGUAGUUGGUUAUCGCAUCUGUCUAACACACAGAAGGUCUCCUGUUCGAGCCAGGAUUGAGUCA